RNAcentral lists this unclassified non-coding RNA (162 nucleotides) under uncultured Chaetomiaceae. Its description in RNAcentral is "sequence contains ITS2". Lineage: Eukaryota; Fungi; Ascomycota; Sordariomycetes; Sordariales. The record is from RNAcentral.
CAAACCUCAAGCGCCUGCUUGGUGUUGGGGCUCCCGCGGCGGCCGCGGGCUCCUAAAACCAGUGGCGAGCUCGCCGUGAACCCGAGCGCAGUAGUACCUCUCGCCCGGGACGAUCGGAGGGUUCGGCCGUUAAACCCCGCCGUCCGGCGGACUUUCGGUGGU